Molecule: ribosomal RNA, 497 nt
Filed under: uncultured bacterium
Lineage: Bacteria
Description: partial 16S ribosomal RNA
Rfam family: Bacterial small subunit ribosomal RNA
Source: RNAcentral
GAUGAACGCUGGCGGCGUGCCUAAUACAUGCAAGUCGAGCGAACAGACGGGGAGCUUGCUCCUCUGACGUUAGCGGCGGACGGGUGAGUAACACGUGGAUAACCUACCUAUAAGACUGGGAUAACUUCGGGAAACCGGAGCUAAUACCGGAUAAUAUAUUGAACCGCAUGGUUCAAUAGUGAAAGACGGUUUUGCUGUCACUUAUAGAUGGAUCCGCGCCGCAUUAGCUAGUUGGUAAGGUAACGGCUUACCAAGGCGACGAUGCGUAGCCGACCUGAGAGGGUGAUCGGCCACACUGGAACUGAGACACGGUCCAGACUCCUACGGGAGGCAGCAGUAGGGAAUCUUCCGCAAUGGGCGAAAGCCUGACGGAGCAACGCCGCGUGAGUGAUGAAGGUCUUCGGAUCGUAAAACCCUGUUAUUAGGGAAGAACAAAUGUGUAAGUAACUAUGCACGUCUUGACGGUACCUAAUCAGAAAGCCACGGCUAACUACGUG